UCGGCUAACUCCGUGCCAGCAGCCGCGGUAAUACGGAGGAUCCGAGCGUUAUCCGGAUUUAUUGGGUUUAAAGGGAGCGUAGGCGGAAGCUUAAGUCAGUUGUGAAAGUUUGAGGCUCAACCUUAAAAUUGCAGUUGAAACUGGGUUUCUUGAGUGCGGCAUAGGUGGGCGGAAUUCGUGGUGUAGCGGUGAAAUGCUUAGAUAUCACGAAGAACUCCGAUUGCGAAGGCAGCUCACUGGAGCGUAACUGACGCUGAUGCUCGAAAGUGUGGGUAUCAAACAGGAUUAGAUACCCUGGUAGUCCACACAGUAAACUAUGAAUACUCGCUGUUUGCGAUACAAUGCAAGCGGCCAAGCGAAAGCGUUAAGUAUUCCACCUGGGGCCGGCAACGGUGAAACUCAAAGGAAUUGACGGGGGCCCGCACAAGCGGAGGAACAUGUGGUUUAAUUCGAUGAUACGCGAGGAACCUUACCCGGGCUUAAAUUGCACCUGAAUGCUUUGGAAACAGAGUAGCCGCAAGGCAGGUGUGAAGGUGCUGCAUGGUUGUCGUCAGCUCGUGCCGUGAGGUGUCGGCUUAAGUGCCAUAACGAGCGCAACCCUUAUUUACAGUUACUAACAGUUCGGCUGAGGACUCUGUAGAGACUGCCGUCGUAAGAUGUGAGGAAGGUGGGGAUGACGUCAAAUCAGCACGGCCCUUACGUCCGGGGCUACACACGUGUUACAAUGGGUGGUACAGAAGGCAGCUACACGGCGACGUGAUGCCAAUCCCCAAAACCACUCUCAGUUCGGAUUGGAGUCUGCAACCCGACUCCAUGAAGCUGGAUUCGCUAGUAAUCGCGCAUCAGCCACGGCGCGGUGAAUACGUUCCCGGGCCUUGUACACACCGCCCGUCAAGCCAUGAAAGCCGGGGG
Molecule: ribosomal RNA, 912 nt
Filed under: termite gut metagenome
Description: bacterial SSU rRNA
Rfam family: Bacterial small subunit ribosomal RNA
Source: RNAcentral